UGCAAGUCGAACGAAGUCUUCGGACUUAGUGGCGGACGGGUGAGUAACACGUGGGAACGUGCCUUUAGGUUCGGAAUAACUCAGGGAAACUUGUGCUAAUACCGAAUGUGCCCUUCGGGGGAAAGAUUUAUCGCCUUUAGAGCGGCCCGCGUCUGAUUAGCUAGUUGGUGAGGUAAAGGCUCACCAAGGCGACGAUCAGUAGCUGGUCUGAGAGGAUGAUCAGCCACAUUGGGACUGAGACACGGCCCAAACUCCUACGGGAGGCAGCAGUGGGGAAUCUUGCGCAAUGGGCGAAAGCCUGACGCAGCCAUGCCGCGUGAAUGAUGAAGGUCUUAGGAUUGUAAAAUUCUUUCACCGGGGACGAUAAUGACGGUACCCGGAGAAGAAGCCCCGGCUAACUUCGUGCCAGCAGCCGCGGUAAUACGAAGGGGGCUAGCGUUGCUCGGAAUUACUGGGCGUAAAGGGAGCGUAGGCGGACAUUUAAGUCAGGGGUGAAAUCCCGGGGCUCAACCUCGGAAUUGCCUUUGAUACUGGGUGUCUUGAGUGUGAGAGAGGUAUGUGGAACUCCGAGUGUAGAGGUGAAAUUCGUAGAUAUUCGGAAGAACACCAGUGG
Molecule: ribosomal RNA, 613 nt
Filed under: uncultured bacterium
Lineage: Bacteria
Description: bacterial SSU rRNA
Rfam family: Bacterial small subunit ribosomal RNA
Source: RNAcentral